RNAcentral lists this unclassified non-coding RNA (424 nucleotides) under uncultured fungus. RNAcentral's name for it is "partial contains small subunit ribosomal RNA, internal transcribed spacer 1, and 5.8S ribosomal RNA". The stretch from base 1 to 73 matches the Rfam family "Eukaryotic small subunit ribosomal RNA", at positions 1759 to 1831 of the family's 1831-position model. The record is from RNAcentral. Lineage: Eukaryota; Fungi.
GCAAACUUGGUCAUUUAGAGGAAGUAAAAGUCGUAACAAGGUCUCCGUAGGUGAACCUGCGGAGGGAUCAUUACUGAACGGCCCCAUGGGCCUUCAACCCCAUCAAACCUGUGGACCUCAAUCCGUGCUUCGGCGCCGUGGAAGCGGCGUCGCCUUUAUGCAUAAAGCUGGAUCUAGUCUGAUUCAAUCAAGAAGAUUUAAAACUUUCAACAAAGGAUCUCUUGGCUCUCCUGCGGAGGGAUCAUUACUGAACGGCCCCAUGGGCCUUCAACCCCAUCAAACCUGUGGACCUCAAUCCGUGCUUCGGCGCCGUGGAAGCGGCGUCGCCUUUAUGCAUAAAGCUGGAUCUAGUCUGAUUCAAUCAAGAAGAUUUAAAACUUUCAACAAAGGAUCUCUUGGCUCUCGCAUCGAUGAAGAACGCAGC